CCUACGGGAGGCAGCAGUGGGGAAUAUUGCACAAUGGGGGAAACCCUGAUGCAGCGACGCCGCGUGAGUGAGGAAGUAUUUCGGUAUGUAAAGCUCUAUCAGCAGGGAAGAAAAUGACGGUACCUGACUAAGAAGCCCCGGCUAACUACGUGCCAGCAGCCGCGGUAAUACGUAGGGGGCAAGCGUUAUCCGGAUUUACUGGGUGUAAAGGGAGCGUAGACGGCUAAUCAAGUCAGAAGUGAAAGCCCAGGGCUCAACUUUGGGACUGCUUUUGAAACUGAGUAGCUAGAGUGCAGGAGAGGUAGGCGGAAUUCUUGGUGUAGGGGUGAAAUGCGUAGAGAUCAAGAGGAACACUGAUUGCGAAGGCGACCUACUGGAACGUUACUGACGUUGAUGCACGAAAGCGUGGGGAGCAAACAGGAUUAGAUACCCUGGUAGUC
This 440-nucleotide ribosomal RNA is filed under the name uncultured bacterium. RNAcentral describes it as "partial 16S ribosomal RNA". It matches the Rfam family "Bacterial small subunit ribosomal RNA", at positions 338 to 795 of the family's 1533-position model. The record is from RNAcentral.